Impatiens glandulifera is the source of this 1803-nucleotide long non-coding RNA. RefSeq lists it as uncharacterized. Lineage: Eukaryota; Viridiplantae; Streptophyta; Magnoliopsida; Ericales; Balsaminaceae. The record is from RefSeq and is a predicted model, not a curated record. The transcript is spliced from 9 exons.
CAAACUCUCGUCAGACUCCGCAAUCGACCUCCAGACUCCACCGCCAAACAAUGGAGCAGUGGAAGCUUGGGCGAAUUCACAGAGAUAGAGAUGAAAGACUCUAGGCGUCAGAUCGUUGCGCUUCCUGUUGUUUUUCUCCUCGAUCGAUCUACAUUUUCUUUCUGGUUCGUUACCUUUCUCAGAUCCCCAAUCUUCUCCUUUUUCUACAAACCAUUUCAACUCAACAAGGAAAAAAGGAUAACAAGAAAGGAAAAAAGACGGAAACUCACCUACAAACACCGUACGCUGCGACUUCUGCAAGGUGAUCACGGGGAAGAGGGAGAGGACAGAACCCUAAUGGAAGGGAUCGAACUCCUAUAAAUAAAGAUGAACCCUAAGACGAACGAAUCAAUUUUUGAGAUCUAGAACACCGAUCAAAAUAAUCUCCAACAUCUCUCGAUUCUAAUUCGGAAGAAGAAGCAGAAACAACAGUAACUCCAGGUUUCUUCCCCCAUUCUGCAAGACUGCAAAAGAGUGGAGCUUAUAAGACCUUCAAACAUCCCCAGACAGUUUAUAUCCACCCAAGCUCUAGUAUAGCCCAGAUCUUCUGAUGGAGCAGCUUAUCCAGUCAAUUAGGUACCAUUAUCUAUGUCAACCAGGGAUAAGGAAAACAUAAUGGAUCACUUGUAAUAUUGAACCUGACAUACAACAUCUCUAUUGAUAGAAGAAAGCUUCCUAAUAGUUUUGUUGAGAGACUCUUCAAGAGAUCCCCAUUAUUGCUACAGAAACUGUCUUCGUCUGUUGAUGCGACAAGUGAAAUUGGUGGGAAAAAUGUUGAACUCAGAAGUUACUAUUCUGAAGAGGUUUCCUACAUCCAAUAAAAGCUCUCUUCUUCGAUCUCUCGUUUUGUCUGCUUCUAUUGCUGCUGCUAAAUCCGGUCUUUAUUUUUAUUCAAACAUUGACACAGACCCAACAAGACCAUCCUUAUUGAUUUCUGUUAAUAUCCCAAAGCAUGAUCAUCCAUCUUGGUGGCCAUGGAGAACUUGGGGACCAAUGUUUCUUCAGCCCUCUUUUAAUUGCCUAGGAAAUGUGGCAUUGUUUUUCUCUAGGUCUGGAGGAGAUAUUCCACCACCCGCAGAUACGAGCAAAUAAGAUAAAGGUUAUAAUGGGUGCUUCAGUAGAGAUUCAAUUGCCAAUGUCGCUGCAAUAACUGGUCCUACUGUAGUUAAUUUGUCUGUCUCACAAGAUUUACACAGAGUUACCUUGGGAAAGAGUGUUGGUUCUGGCACCAUAAUGGAUUCUGAUGGUACUAUAUUGACGUGCGCUCAUUUGGUUGUGAGUCACCAUGGCUUGUCAACCAAAGUGGGGAAGGUCAGUCAGUGUAAAGAUUAUUAAUUUUGUUUUGUAUGAGUCAGUGUAAAGAUUAUUAAUUUUGUUUUGUAUGAGCUGUAGGAGUAGUUUUUUACAGGUUGAUGUAACAUUACAAGAUGGUAGGACAUUUGAAGGAUAAUUGAUCAACGCGGACUUGCACUCUAAUAUUGCAAUAGUGAAGAUCGACUCCAAAACCCUACUUUCAUCUACAAAACUUGGCUCUUCAAGCAACCUUCGUCCUGGAGAUUGGGUGCUUGCAAUGGGGUGUCCUCUUUCCCUUCAGAAUAUUGUUACAGCUGGCAUUAUGAGGGUAAUUCAGUUGGACCUCUUGUGAGCAUUGAUGGUGAGGUUGUAGGUGUGAACAUUAUGAAAAUAAGGGCUGCUGAUGGAUUGAGCUUUUCUGUACAUUGAGUUGUGACAAUUAUUUAUUUAUUUGAUUAUGAUAUUAUUUUA